Molecule: signal recognition particle RNA, 301 nt
Filed under: Vombatus ursinus (common wombat)
Lineage: Eukaryota; Metazoa; Chordata; Mammalia; Diprotodontia; Vombatidae
Description: Metazoan signal recognition particle RNA (ENSVURG00010007813.1)
Rfam family: Metazoan signal recognition particle RNA
About the family: The signal recognition particle (SRP) is a universally conserved ribonucleoprotein. It is involved in the co-translational targeting of proteins to membranes.
Source: Rfam by way of RNAcentral
GCUGGGUAUUGUGACACAUUCCUAUAAUCCCAGCUACCAGGAAGGCUGAGACUGGUGGAUCUCUUAAGCUCUGAAGUUCUGAGCUGCAGUGGGUUAUGUUGAAUGAGUGUCCACACUAAGUUCUACAUAAGUACUGUGAAUUCCCAGGAGCAGGGGGCUACCAAGUUGUUUAAGGAAGGGACAAACCAGCCCAAGUUGGAAAAAAGAAACAGGUCAAAGUUCCUGUGCCAAUCAGUAGGGCGAUGGAGUCCAUGAGUAACCUUGCACUUCCAUCCUGGAAAAGAUGGGGAGACCCAGUCAA